Molecule: transfer RNA, 71 nt
Filed under: Marmota monax (woodchuck)
Lineage: Eukaryota; Metazoa; Chordata; Mammalia; Rodentia; Sciuridae
Description: tRNA.Ala
Source: RNAcentral
GGGGUUGUGGCUCAGUGGUAGAGCGUACGCUUUGCACAUGUGAGGCACUGGGUUUGUUCCUCAGCACCACA